GAUGAACGCUGGCGGCGUGCCUAAUACAUGCAAGUCGAGCGAACGGACGAGAAGCUUGCUUCUCUGAUGUUAGCGGCGGACGGGUGAGUAACACGUGGAUAACCUACCUAUAAGACUGGGAUAACUUCGGGAAACCGGAGCUAAUACCGGAUAAUAUUUUGAACCGCAUGGUUCAAAAGUGAAAGACGGUCUUGCUGUCACUUAUAGAUGGAUCCGCGCUGCAUUAGCUAGUUGGUAAGGUAACGGCUUACCAAGGCAACGAUGCAUAGCCGACCUGAGAGGGUGAUCGGCCACACUGGAACUGAGACACGGUCCAGACUCCUACGGGAGGCAGCAGUAGGGAAUCUUCCGCAAUGGGCGAAAGCCUGACGGAGCAACGCCGCGUGAGUGAUGAAGGUCUUCGGAUCGUAAAACUCUGUUAUUAGGGAAGAACAUAUGUGUAAGUAACUGUGCACAUCUUGACGGUACCUAAUCAGAAAGCCACGGCUAACUACGUGCCAGCAGCCGCGGUAAUACGUAGGUGGCAAGCGUUAUCCGGAAUUAUUGGGCGUAAAGCGCGCGUAGGCGGUUUUUUAAGUCUGAUGUGAAAGCCCACGGCUCAACCGUGGAGGGUCAUUGGAAACUGGAAAACUUGAGUGCAGAAGAGGAAAGUGGAAUUCCAUGUGUAGCGGUGAAAUGCGCAGAGAUAUGGAGGAACACCAGUGGCGAAGGCGACUUUCUGGUCUGUAACUGACGCUGAUGUGCGAAGGCGUGGGGAUCAAACAGGAUUAGAUACCCUGGUAGUCCACGCCGUAAACGAUGAGUGCUAAGUGUUAGGGGGUUUCCGCCCCUUAGUGCUGCAGCUAACGCAUUAAGCACUCCGCCUGGGGAGUACGACCGCAAGGUUGAAACUCAAAGGAAUUGACGGGGACCCGCACAAGCGGUGGAGCAUGUGGUUUAAUUCGAAGCAACGCGAAGAACCUUACCAAAUCUUGACAUCCUUUGACAACUCUAGAGAUAGAGCUUUCCCCUUCGGGGGACAAAGUGACAGGUGGUGCAUGGUUGUCGUCAGCUCGUGUCGUGAGAUGUUGGGUUAAGUCCCGCAACGAGCGCAACCCUUAAGCUUAGUUGCCAUCAUUAAGUUGGGCACUCUAAGUUGACUGCCGGUGACAAACCGGAGGAAGGUGGGGAUGACGUCAAAUCAUCAUGCCCCUUAUGAUUUGGGCUACACACGUGCUACAAUGGACAAUACAAAGGGCAGCGAAACCGCGAGGUCAAGCAAAUCCCAUAAAGUUGUUCUCAGUUCGGAUUGUAGUCUGCAACUCGACUACAUGAAGCUGGAAUCGCUAGUAAUCGUAGAUCAGCAUGCUACGGUGAAUACGUUCCCGGGUCU
This 1372-nucleotide ribosomal RNA is filed under the name uncultured bacterium. Its description in RNAcentral is "bacterial SSU rRNA". It matches the Rfam family "Bacterial small subunit ribosomal RNA", at positions 28 to 1381 of the family's 1533-position model. The record is from RNAcentral.